GCGCACGCUGGCGGCAGGCCUCACCCCUGCAAGUCGCACGGACCCUUCGGGGUUAGUGGCGGACGGGUGAGUAACACGUGGGAACGUGCCUUUAGGUUCGGAAUAGCUCCUGGAAACGGGUGGUAAUGCCGAAUGUGCCCUUCGGGGGAAAGAUUUAUCGCCUUUAGAGCGGCCCGCGUCUGAUUAGCUAGUUGGUGAGGUAACGGCUCACCAAGGCGACGAUCAGUAGCUGGUCUGAGAGGAUGACCAGCCACACUGGGACUGAGACACGGCCCAGACUCCUACGGGAGGCAGCAGUGGGGAAUCUUGCGCAAUGGGCGAAAGCCUGACGCAGCCAUGCCGCGUGAAUGAUGAAGGUCUUAGGAUUGUAAAAUUCUUUCACCGGGGACGAUAAUGACGGUACCCGGAGAAGAAGCCCCGGCUAACUUCGUG
RNAcentral lists this ribosomal RNA (432 nucleotides) under uncultured bacterium. RNAcentral's name for it is "partial 16S ribosomal RNA". It matches the Rfam family "Bacterial small subunit ribosomal RNA", at positions 29 to 507 of the family's 1533-position model. The record is from RNAcentral.